GAUCAACAUAAGAAACACACACUCCUACUCCUUGGUGUGUUCCUUUCUUCAAAGCCCCUCGCGAAUGAUCUAAUCGAUAGAUGCUCUGAAGCAUAUGUCAUGAAGGACGUCAAAAUAAGGCCGCCUACGACCAUCAAACCUAACCUCAAAAACAAAGAAGUGACUCCAAAAACACCAGGCAAUGCUGGGGCUGCAAUGGCAAGAAAUGCCAUCCCUAACCCAUAGUACCAUGCUUCAUUGUCACAACAUGAUUGUUGCCGCUGAUGACCUUUUCCAGGUUCAUAAUCCAAAGAUACAGGAUGAGCCGGAAAUUGACCAGGUUGAUUUGCCGCAACCCUUCCCCACUGAUAAACUAAGUGCAGAUAACUUCCGAACAAGAGGAAGAAAAGUGUAAAUGUCCAUUCGUACAUAAGGAGGAGACCAGUCCAUGGCAUUACUUGGCGCGGAAUGAUUAAAAGUGGAAGACCAAGGGACACAAGAGCAGCAGCAAAACAGACACAGACAGAUACCGCACCCAGAUAAGUAGGCAUCUUCAACUGCAUACCAUUUGGGAACUGCUGGCUGGAGCUGAUGGCAGAUGGAGGAACAGAGGCAUAAGCUAGGACACCUCCUCUGACCUUGUAGUACAUUUGUCUGAUAUGGUGCCAUAGUGAUUGUGUCUGUAAGAACGACCGAUAGUAACAAAAUGCUAUCAGAAGCAAUGGAAGCAAAUAAAGAAAUUUGACAAGAAGUUCAUCUCUGGAAUUUUUGCCGCCUCUAGUUCCAGGUAGAGAUUCUUGAAGUUGUACCCUGACAUUCUGCCAGACAUCAACAGGUUUUA
RNAcentral lists this unclassified non-coding RNA (820 nucleotides) under Hevea brasiliensis (rubber tree). The record is from RNAcentral. Lineage: Eukaryota; Viridiplantae; Streptophyta; Magnoliopsida; Malpighiales; Euphorbiaceae.